Molecule: unclassified non-coding RNA, 248 nt
Filed under: Hevea brasiliensis (rubber tree)
Lineage: Eukaryota; Viridiplantae; Streptophyta; Magnoliopsida; Malpighiales; Euphorbiaceae
Source: RNAcentral
GUAUUCUCAUUACCUUCCCAAUCUGCCUUAUUAUAUUAUUAUACAUUACAAAUCAAGCAAUAUAAAAUUUCCUCUAAAAAGAGAAAUUGAAGGCAAUGCAAUUGAUUUCCUCUACCCUACCAUAAACUUUCCACAUACUGCAUUAGCUAACAAGGAUUUUUCACUGAUAAAAUAUAAACGAAAUUGUCAAAAUUAAAAAAGAGCAUAAAGUAUCGAUGAACAUACAAAAAGGGGAGAUGAUCCAGUAU